This 253-nucleotide ribosomal RNA is filed under the name uncultured bacterium. RNAcentral describes it as "partial 16S ribosomal RNA". It matches the Rfam family "Bacterial small subunit ribosomal RNA", at positions 524 to 776 of the family's 1533-position model. The record is from RNAcentral.
UACGUAGGGUGCGAGCGUUGUCCGGAAUUAUUGGGCGUAAAGGGCUCGUAGGCGGUCUGUCGCGUCGGGAGUGAAAACUCAGGGCUUAACCCUGAGCCUGCUUCCGAUACGGGCAGACUAGAGGUAUGCAGGGGAGAACGGAAUUCCUGGUGUAGCGGUGAAAUGCGCAGAUAUCAGGAGGAACACCGGCGGCGAAGGCGGUUCUCUGGGCAUUACCUGACGCUGAGGAGCGAAAGUGUGGGGAGCGAACAGG